Molecule: long non-coding RNA, 1191 nt
Organism: Frankliniella occidentalis (western flower thrips)
Lineage: Eukaryota; Metazoa; Arthropoda; Insecta; Thysanoptera; Thripidae
Exons: 5
Source: RefSeq, a predicted model, not a curated record
CAAACCCUAUUUUUGAUAUAACCUGAUUUCUUCUAAAAUGUUGUUAUGUAAUGUUAUGAAAUGACACGCUCUGUCACAUUCUUUAUUUUCUUUCAAAGAAUCAAAUUAUUUUGUCAUUUUGAGUUACACGUGAAAUCUGAUUGUCAUGACACCAAACACUUCGUGAACAGGUUUGAAGAGCCGCGGUCCAGGGUAAUACUGCCACCCCAGAAAAAGUUCGACUCAUAAGGAAUUAGAGAUAUUUACGGACACAAUAAUGUUUCGCCGCUUCCAACUAAAACGAUUUGUAACAAAAUUUGAGACGCUAAUUUUUGGUGUCAGAAAGGCGAAAUUAAAUAGAAUGGAGGUGACAGAAGUGGCACUUGAUUUUGUCCGAAAGAGUUGGCACUCCUGCUCCCCAGCCACACACUGAACGACGAAAAGUAGGAAGGCGUCGGUUUAACGGUUCUUUGGUUUGAACUGCGAAGAGCAUCUCCCAAGUUGUUGUCAUUAAUAUUUGCUUCCUUGCUAAUUUGAGCUUAACAGAAUGUGCCUGCAACGUUAAUAAAGUGUAGUGUCUUGUUUCGCAACUGAAGCGGCGUACUGCAGCAAGCAGCCCGCAGUCUCAGUAGGUAACGACGCUUAGCCUCCUAACCCCCCUAUCUAGGCACGAGUGUACUGUACUUCGCACUUCAGAGCUAACAAGAAAACUUCAUAUCCUCUGCUGUGGAUUUUUUUGUGGAUUGUUGUGCAUUGUCCGCACUUGGUAUUUCGUACUACAACUUCUAUUUUGCUGCUGCUCUACAAAUAAGGGUGAACCUAAUGUGGAAUCUCACAAAGUUAAGGCGGACUACUUAAACUACUCCAAUACAGUUAUCUACGACCACAUCUGCUGUGUGAGUACGUUCACUGAAUAUAGCCAGUUUGCUGCAACAAGAGUGUCGCAAUAUCUACGCAGUGAGGUUAAAUAAGACAAGGAACACAUUUGCAGCAGCAAAGUAGCAAUGUACAAUCGCCAAUAAUUGCUUCAAACACAAGCCAGCAAGAAGAGACAUAUUUUUAUUUCAUAGUUCCUUUUUUCUUUUGAGUGAUUUUUUGAAUAUUCUGACCUGCGAAUUCGAAGUUGGUUUUAUGAUCUUUGCAAUGCUUCAACAUUUUGCCCGCUUCUGUUAUUUAUUUUUGGUUUGUAUUAAAACUGCAGUGUCAAUUUAA